Molecule: ribosomal RNA, 212 nt
Filed under: uncultured bacterium
Lineage: Bacteria
Description: partial 16S ribosomal RNA
Rfam family: Bacterial small subunit ribosomal RNA
Source: RNAcentral
GACGAACGCUGGCGGCGUGCUUAACACAUGCAAGUCGAGACGGUAAGGCCCUUUCGGGGGUACACGAGCGGCGAACGGGUGAGUAACACGUGGGUGACCUGCCCUCAGCUCUGGGAUAAGCCUGGGAAACUGGGUCUAAUACCGGAUAUGACUCCAUGACGCAUGUUGUAGGGUGGAAAGCCUUGUGCGGCUGAGGAUGGGCCCGCGGCCUA